GGGCCCGUAGCCUAGCUGGAUAGGGCGACAGCCUCCUAAGCUGUAGAUCGUGGGUUCGAAUCCCACCGGGUCCG
RNAcentral lists this transfer RNA (74 nucleotides) under archaeon. RNAcentral describes it as "tRNA-Arg". It matches the Rfam family "tRNA". From Rfam's summary of the family: Transfer RNA (tRNA) molecules are approximately 80 nucleotides in length. Their secondary structure includes four short double-helical elements and three loops (D, anti-codon, and T loops). The record is from RNAcentral. RNAcentral also lists the same sequence under 2 other names.